Molecule: ribosomal RNA, 492 nt
Filed under: uncultured bacterium
Lineage: Bacteria
Description: partial 16S ribosomal RNA
Rfam family: Bacterial small subunit ribosomal RNA
Source: RNAcentral
AGUGAACGCUGGCGGUAGGCCUAACACAUGCAAGUCGAACGGCAGCACAGUAAGAGCUUGCUCUUACGGGUGGCGAGUGGCGGACGGGUGAGGAAUACAUCGGAAUCUACUUUUUCGUGGGGGAUAACGUAGGGAAACUUACGCUAAUACCGCAUACGACCUACGGGUGAAAGCAGGGGAUCUUCGGACCUUGCGCAAUUGAAUGAGCCGAUGUCGGAUUAGCUAGUUGGCGGGGUAAAGGCCCACCAAGGCGACGAUCCGUAGCUGGUCUGAGGGGAUGAUCAGCCACACUGGAACUGAGACACGGUCCAGACUCCUACGGGAGGCAGCAGUGGGGAAUAUUGGACAAUGGGCGCAAGCCUGAUCCAGCCAUACCGCGUGGGUGAAGAAGGCCUUCGGGUUGUAAAGCCCUUUUGUUGGGAAAGAAAAGCAGCAGGUUAAUACCCCGCUGUUCUGACGGUACCCAAAGAAUAAGCACCGGCUAACUUCGUG